This 1446-nucleotide ribosomal RNA is filed under the name metagenome. RNAcentral's name for it is "bacterial LSU rRNA". It matches the Rfam family "Bacterial large subunit ribosomal RNA", at positions 1464 to 2925 of the family's 2925-position model. The record is from RNAcentral.
AAGCAGUGACACAGAAGGAUAGGACGAGCGCGGUGAUGGUCAACCGCGUAGGCGGCACGAGGCUGGGGAGCAGUUAAGUACACUUCCCAAGAAGGCUGAGUGCUGACAGGACCGAAAAAGAGUAGGGAAGCGUCUGAGUUCACGCUGGCGAGAAAAGCUGCUAAGGAGAGUGUGAGUGCCCGUACCGGAAACCGACGCAGGUGGGCGAGGAGAGAAUCCUGAGACGGACGGGAGAACUCUUGUUAAGGAACUCGGCAAAAUGACCCCGUAACUUCGGGAGAAGGGGUGCCUCGAAAGAGGCCGCAGAGAAUAGUCACAAGCGACUGUUUAGCAAAACACAGGUAUCUGCGAAAGCGAGAGCUGACGUAUAGGUGCUGACGCCUGCCCGGUGCUGGAAGGUUAAGGGGAAGUGUUAGGGGAAACCCGAAGCAGAGAACCGAAGCCCCAGUAAACGGCGGCCGUAACAAUAACGGUCCUAAGGUAGCGAAAUUCCUUGUCGGGUAAGUUCCGACCCGCACGAAUGGCGUAACGACUUGUGAGCUGUCUCAACAGGAGGCCCGGUGAAAUUGAAGUAUGUGUGAAGAUGCACAUUACCCGCGACUGGACGGAAAGACCCCGUAGAGCUUUACUGUAACCUGACAUUGGAUCUUGAUAACGGAUGCACAGGAUAGGUGGGACGCAGAGAGACGAGGACUUCGGUUUUCGUGGAGCGGCCGUUGGGAUACCACUCUUCUGUUAUUGAGAUUCUAACCUCAAGCCGUAAGCCGGAUGAGAGACAGUGUCAGGCGGACAGUUUGACUGGGGCGGUCGCCUCCGAAAGAGUAACGGAGGCGCCCAAAGGUACCCUCAGAAUGGAUGGAAACCAUUCGAAGAGAGCAAAGUCAGAAGGGUGCUUGACUGCGAGACCAACAAGUCGAGCAGGUACGAAAGUAGGGCUUAGUGAUCCGGCGGUAAGAGAGUGGAAUUGCCGUCGCUCAACGGAUAAAAGCUACCUCGGGGAUAACAGGCUGAUCUCCCCCAAGAGUUCACAUCGACGGGGAGGUUUGGCACCUCGAUGUCGGCUCGUCGCAUCCUGGGGCUGAAGCAGGUCCCAAGGGUUUGGCUGUUCGCCAAUUAAAGCGGCACGCGAGCUGGGUUCAGAACGUCGUGAGACAGUUCGGUCCCUAUCCAUCGUGGGCGAAGGACACAUGAGAGGAGCUGCUCCUAGUACGAGAGGACCGGAGUGGACGCAUCACUGGUGCAACUGUUGUCGUGCCAACGGCACAGCAGGGAAGCGAAAUGCGGAUGGGAUAAACGCUGAAGGCAUCUAAGCGUGAAGCCCACCUCAAGAAUAAGUGUCCCAUUCGAAAGAAGUAAGACCCCUGGAGGACUACCAGGUGAUAGGUCAUCGGUGAAAGAGUGGCAACAUUUGGAGCUUGGUGAUACUAAUCGGUCGAGGACUUGACC